Molecule: microRNA precursor, 111 nt
Filed under: Musa acuminata subsp. malaccensis (wild Malaysian banana)
Lineage: Eukaryota; Viridiplantae; Streptophyta; Magnoliopsida; Zingiberales; Musaceae
Source: RNAcentral
GGGCUAUUGUGGUGUUGGUCCGGCUCACUCAGAAUGCAUCAGCAAGAAGGCAAAGCAAACGCCUUACAGAUUGCAUUCUGAUUGAGCCGCGCCAAUAUCUCAGCACUCUUU